GGCCGAGGGGGCUACCUGCAGUCGACGAACCUUUCGGGGUGAGUGGCGGACGGGUGAGUAACGCGUGAGGAUCUGCCCUUAGGCGGGGGACAACUUUUGGAAACGGAAGCUAAUACCCCAUAUGUCGAGAGAUGAAAGCUUAAUGUGCCUGAGGAAGAGCUCGCGUCUGAUUAGCUAGUUGGUGGGGUAAAGGCUUACCAAGGCGACGAUCAGUAGCUGUUCUGAGAGGAAGAUCAGCCACACUGGGACUGAGACACGGCCCAGACUCCUACGGGAGGCAGCAGUGGGGAAUUUUCCGCAAUGGGCGCAAGCCUGACGGAGCAACGCCGCGUGAGGGAGGAAUGUCUGUGGAUUGUAAACCUCUUUUCUCUGUGAAGAAGAUCUGACGGUAGCAGAGGAAUCAGCAUCGGCUAACUCCGUGCCAGCUGCCGCGGUAAGACGGAGGAUGCAAGCGUUAUCCGGAAUUAUUGGGCGUAAAGCGUCCGUAGGCGGUUAAAUAAGUCAGUUGUUAAAGACUGCAGCUCAACUGUGGGAGAGCAACUGAAACUGUUUGACUAGAGUAUGGUAGGGGUAGAGGGAAUUCCUAGUGUAGCGGUGAAAUGCGUAGAUAUUAGGAAGAACACCAGUGGCGAAGGCGCUCUACUGGGCCAAGACUGGCGCUGAUGGACGAAAGCUAGGGGAGCGAAAGGGAUUAGAUACCCCUGUAGUCCUAGCUGUAAACGAUGGAUACUAGGUGUUGUGCGUAUCGACCCGUGCAGUACCGCAGCAAACGCGUUAAGUAUCCCGCCUGGGGAGUACGCACGCAAGUGUGAAACUCAAAGGAAUUGACGGGGGCCCGCACAAGCGGUGGAGU
RNAcentral lists this ribosomal RNA (853 nucleotides) under uncultured marine bacterium. Its description in RNAcentral is "bacterial SSU rRNA". It matches the Rfam family "Bacterial small subunit ribosomal RNA", at positions 41 to 938 of the family's 1533-position model. The record is from RNAcentral.